UACGUAGGUGGCAAGCGUUGUCCGGAUUUAUUGGGUUUAAAGGGUGCGCAGGCGGCUUUGUAAGUCAGUGGUGAAAUACUCUAGCUUAACUAGAGGGGUGCCAUUGAUACUGCGGAGCUUGAGUACAGAUGAGGUAGGCGGAAUUGACGGUGUAGCGGUGAAAUGCAUAGAUAUCGUCAAGAACACCGAUAGCGAAGGCAGCUUACUGGGCUGUAACUGACGCUGAUGCACGAAAGUGUGGGGAUCAAACAGG
This 253-nucleotide ribosomal RNA is filed under the name uncultured bacterium. Its description in RNAcentral is "partial 16S ribosomal RNA". It matches the Rfam family "Bacterial small subunit ribosomal RNA", at positions 524 to 776 of the family's 1533-position model. The record is from RNAcentral.